CGCUGGCGGCACGCCUAACACAUGCAAGUCGAACGCAGUAGCAAUACUGAGUGGCGAACGGGUGAGUAUAAUAUGGGUAUCUGCCUUUUGGUUUGGAAUAACACGAGGAAACUUGUGCUAAUACCGGAUAAGCCUUUACAGGGAAAGUUUUAACGCCGAAAGAUGAGCCCAUACUUGAUUAGCUAGUUGGUAAGGUAAUAGCUUACCAAGGCUACGAUCAAUAGCUGAUCUGAGAGGAUGAUCAGCCACAUUGGGACUGAGACACGGCCCAGACUCCUACGGGAGGCAGCAGUGGGGAAUCUUGCACAAUGGGGGAAACCCUGAUGCAGCGAUGCCGCGUGAGUGAAGAAGGCCCUUGGGUUGUAAAGCUCUUUCGUCGGGGAAGAAAAUGACUGUACCCGAAUAAGAAGGUCCGGCUAACUUCGUGCCAGCAGCCGCGGUAAUACGAAGGGACCUAGCGUAGUUCGGAAUUACUGGGCUUAAAGAGCUCGUAGGUGGUUAAGAAAGUUGGUGGUGAAAGCCCAAGGCUCAACCUUGGAACUGCCACCAAAACUUUUUGACUAGAGUAUGAUAGAGGUAAGUGGAAUUUCUAGUGUAGAGGUGAAAUUCGUAGAUAUUAGAAAGAACACCAAUUGCGAAGGCAACUUUCUGGAUCAUUACUGACACUGAGGAGCGAAAGCAUGGGUAGCGAAGAGGAUUAGAUACCCUCGUAGUCCAUGCUGUAAACGAUGUGUGCUAGACGUUGGAAAUUUAUUUUCAGUGUCGCAGCAAAAGCGUUAAGCACACCGCCUGGGGAGUACGACCGC
RNAcentral lists this ribosomal RNA (806 nucleotides) under uncultured Pelagibacteraceae bacterium. RNAcentral describes it as "bacterial SSU rRNA". It matches the Rfam family "Bacterial small subunit ribosomal RNA", at positions 34 to 889 of the family's 1533-position model. Lineage: Bacteria; Pseudomonadati; Pseudomonadota; Alphaproteobacteria; Candidatus Pelagibacterales; Candidatus Pelagibacteraceae. The record is from RNAcentral.